AUGCAAGUCGAGCGGUAACAGGGGUAGCUUGCUACCCGCUGACGAGCGGCGGACGGGUGAGUAAUGCAUAGGAAUCUGCCCGAUAGUGGGGGAUAACCUGGGGAAACCCAGGCUAAUACCGCAUACGUCCUACGGGAGAAAGGGGGCUUCGGCUCCCGCUAUUGGAUGAGCCUAUGUCGGAUUAGCUAGUUGGUAAGGUAAUGGCUUACCAAGGCAACGAUCCGUAGCUGGUCUGAGAGGAUGAUCAGCCACAUCGGGACUGAGACACGGCCCGAACUCCUACGGGAGGCAGCAGUGGGGAAUAUUGGACAAUGGGGGCAACCCUGAUCCAGCCAUGCCGCGUGUGUGAAGAAGGCCCUCGGGUUGUAAAGCACUUUCAGCGAGGAAGAACGCCUAUCGGUUAAUACCCGGUAGGAAAGACAUCACUCGCAGAAGAAGCACCGGCUAACUCCGUGCCAGCAGCCGCGGUAAUACGGAGGGUGCAAGCGUUAAUCGGAAUUACUGGGCGUAAAGCGCGCGUAGGUGGCUUGAUAAGCCGGUUGUGAAAGCCCCGGGCUCAACCUGGGAACGGCAUCCGGAACUGUCAGGCUAGAGUGCAGGAGAGGAAGGUAGAAUUCCCGGUGUAGCGGUGAAAUGCGUAGAGAUCGGGAGGAAUACCAGUGGCGAAGGCGGCCUUCUGGACUGACACUGACACUGAGGUGCGAAAGCGUGGGUAGCAAACAGGAUUAGAUACCCUGGUAGUCCACGCCGUAAACGAUGUCGACCAGCCGUUGGGUGCCUAGAGCACUUUGUGGCGAAGUUAACGCGAUAAGUCGACCGCCUGGGGAGUACGGCCGCAAGGUUAAAACUCAAAUGAAUUGACGGGGGCCCGCACAAGCGGUGGAGCAUGUGGUUUAAUUCGAUGCAACGCGAAGAACCCUUA
RNAcentral lists this ribosomal RNA (922 nucleotides) under Vreelandella titanicae. Its description in RNAcentral is "bacterial SSU rRNA". It matches the Rfam family "Bacterial small subunit ribosomal RNA", at positions 55 to 973 of the family's 1533-position model. Lineage: Bacteria; Pseudomonadati; Pseudomonadota; Gammaproteobacteria; Oceanospirillales; Halomonadaceae. The record is from RNAcentral.